RNAcentral lists this ribosomal RNA (406 nucleotides) under uncultured bacterium. RNAcentral describes it as "partial 16S ribosomal RNA". It matches the Rfam family "Bacterial small subunit ribosomal RNA", at positions 30 to 526 of the family's 1533-position model. The record is from RNAcentral.
AUUGAACGCUGGCGGCAGGCCUAACACAUGCAAGUCGAACGAGUGGCGGACGGGUGAGUAAUGUCUGGGAAACUGCCUGAUGGAGGGGGCUAACUACUGGAAACGGUAGCUAAUACCGCAUACCCUCGGAUGUGCCCAGAUGGGAUUAGCUAGUAGGUGGGGUAAAGGCUCACCUAGGCGACGAUCCCUAGCGGGUCUGAGAGGAUGACCAGCCAACCUGGAACUUAGCCAGGGUCCAGACUCCUACGGGGGGAAGCAGUGGGGAAUAUUGCAAAAUGGGCGAAAGCCUGAUGCAGCCAUGCCGCGGGUAUGAAGAAGGCCUUCGGGUUGUAAAGUACGUUCAGCGGGGAGGCGUUACCCGCAGAAGAAGCACCGGCUAACUCCGUGCCAGCCGCCGCGGUAAUUC